CAAUCGGCCCUUCUCAGGGCCCCAAAUAUUUUCGACAAGGAACAUU
Nasonia vitripennis (jewel wasp) is the source of this 46-nucleotide non-coding RNA. NCBI's taxonomy places the organism in Eukaryota, Metazoa, Arthropoda, Insecta, Hymenoptera, Pteromalidae. The record is from Rfam.